UACACAUGCAAGUCGAGCGGUAGCAUUUCUAGCUUGCUAGAAGAUGACGAGCGGCGGACGGGUGAGUAAAGCAUAGGAAUCUGGCCAAUAGAGGGGGAUAGCCCGGAGAAAUCCGGAUUAAUACCGCAUACACUCUAUGGAGAAAAAGCAGGGGAUCUUCGGACCUUGCACUAUUGGAUGAGCCUAUGUCGGAUUAGUUAGUUGGUGGGGUAAAGGCCUACCAAGGCAGCGAUCCGUAGCUGGUCUUAGAGGAUGAUCAGCCACAUCGGGACUGAGACACGGCCCGAACUCCUACGGGAGGCAGCAGUGGGGAAUAUUGCACAAUGGGCGCAAGCCUGAUGCAGCUAUGCCGCGUGUGUGAAGAAGGCCUUAGGGUUGUAAAGCACUUUCAGUAGUGAGGAAAAGUGUUGUGUUAAUGGCGCAAUGCUGUGACGUUAGCUACAGAAGAAGGACCGGCAAACUCCGUG
This 467-nucleotide ribosomal RNA is filed under the name uncultured bacterium. RNAcentral describes it as "bacterial SSU rRNA". It matches the Rfam family "Bacterial small subunit ribosomal RNA", at positions 50 to 507 of the family's 1533-position model. The record is from RNAcentral.